AGGCAAAUCCCAGAAACAGCGUCCCAGUUCGGACUGCAGCCUGCAACCCGGCUGCACGAAGCCGGAAUCGCUAGUAAUCGCGGAUCAGAAUGCCGCGGUGAAUACGUUCCCGGGUCUUGUACACACCGCCCGUCACACCAUGGGAGUCGGAAAUGCCCGAAGUCAGUGACCCAACCAUUUGGAGGGAGCUGCCGAAGGCAGGUCCGGUAACUGGGGUGAAGUCGUAACAAGGUACC
Molecule: ribosomal RNA, 236 nt
Filed under: uncultured bacterium
Lineage: Bacteria
Description: partial 16S ribosomal RNA
Rfam family: Bacterial small subunit ribosomal RNA
Source: RNAcentral